GUGACAGAAAUAGACGCGGGUUCGGAAAGAUAAAAAUAAUAGAGAAGGAAAGAAAAGAAAAGAAAAGGAAAAAGGUGGUAGGAUGCACAUGCAUUAGGUCGUAUUAUUGAUAUUCGAACGAGGAAAGCAGGAGGAGAAGCAAGAUCUUCCGAUGGCUUAUUUUUAUUGCCCUCAAUUACCCUGGCUAUCCUUUCUCCGUUUUGCUUUCAUUAUUUUAAUGGAAGCUGUUUGAAUUCUUUCAAACUUAUUUUCCCCUUAAUCUUUUUCUGCACAUCAUCGUCUCUCCACAACGUCGACCGCCGUUACUUGUUAUAACCGCCUUUGGGUUGCGGCCAUGGCACUGCUAUUCUCUUGGCAGAGAGGACAGGGAAAGACACAGAGAGAGAAGUAGGGCGGCCAAGAAAGAGAGAAAAGAAAGGAAGAAGGAUAUCAGCGAAUACGGGAUCGGUGGCUGGUUCCCGCCAGAGGAACGAGUUCGUCAUGAUUCUCCGCGAUUCUGCUGCCGCAAGAGGUGGAGAUGCCGUCGUCGGGGGAGGCCUCGAGUUUAGAGAAAUGAAGAAGAGGAUGUUGUUGGUGACUAGGACAACGAGUUUAACUACAACAAGGAAAUGUUGCAUCAAAAAAACUACAACAAGGAAAUGGCAAGGCAGUGCACCAUUGGCAGCAUCAGGGGCAGAGUGAAGAUGCUGAAUUAUUUUCUUCUUAUAGACAUGAAGAGCAGCACCGAAUUCCUUGUCUUACCAAUGGGCUGCCGAUCAACUUGAAAGGUCUGAAUGGCAUCCAGGGUCCUGUCUAUGUGGGGACAGGAUGCUGCUUUAGGAGACAUGCCUUAUGUGGUAUAAGCCUGUCGCGAAUGAGUCUGACUUAGAAGCCGAUGGUGUUGAAAGUUGCUGCAGUUCAAGAGAGAAGGGAAAGAAUGGGAAUAAGAGUUAUGUUUACAAAAAAAGGGGCCGUCAAGAGAACUGAAUCCACCAUUCCCAUCUUCAAUAUUGAAGACACUGAAGAGGGUGUAGAAUGUAUCAACUUUAUUUCUUGGAAGGAACUAAAACAGAAUUUUCUGCAUUUGAUUAUUAUCCAUGGCCAUGCCAAAUGUCAUCUGUUUUUCUUUUGAAGAACAAUAUGGAUGAAUGAGGCCUCCCUGAGGAUAUGAAUAUUUUCUAAUCUAGGAUAUAGCUGAAAUCAACAAACUGCUGUCAAAGUUGUAUGCUUUGUUUUUUACAUAUAUCAGUAUUUUUUAUUUUUUUUAUGUACUUCACAGAAAUAUAUACAACUUAAGAUAUCGCAGGCA
Long non-coding RNA from Phoenix dactylifera (date palm), 1288 nucleotides. RefSeq lists it as uncharacterized. Lineage: Eukaryota; Viridiplantae; Streptophyta; Magnoliopsida; Arecales; Arecaceae. The record is from RefSeq and is a predicted model, not a curated record.